This is a small nuclear RNA of Peromyscus maniculatus bairdii (prairie deer mouse), 106 nucleotides long. NCBI's taxonomy places the organism in Eukaryota, Metazoa, Chordata, Mammalia, Rodentia, Cricetidae. The record is from RefSeq and is a predicted model, not a curated record.
GCCCUCACCUCUGCAGCACAGAUACUAAAACUAGAAUUAUACAGAGAAGAUUUGCAUGGCGCCUGUGCAAAGAUGACACACAAAUUAAGAAGCAUGUCAUAUUUUU